GAUGAACGCUGGCGGCGUGCCUAAUACAUGCAAGUCGAGCGAACGGACGAGAAGCUUGCUUCUCUGAUGUUAGCGGCGGACGGGUGAGUAACACGUGGAUAACCUACCUAUAAGACUGGGAUAACUUCGGGAAACCGGAGCUAAUACCGGAUAAUAUUUUGAACCGCAUGGUUCAAAAGUGAAAGACGGUCUUGCUGUCACUUAUAGAUGGAUCCGCGCUGCAUUAGCUAGUUGGUAAGGUAACGGCUUACCAAGGCAACGAUGCAUAGCCGACCUGAGAGGGUGAUAGGCCGCCCUGGAACGGAAACAGGGUCCCGGGGCCUGCGGGAGGGACCAGUCGGGAAUGUUACGCAAUGGGGGGAAACAUUACGGAACAGCGCCGAGUGAGUGACGGCGGUGUUCGGAUAGUGAAACUCUGUUAUUAGGGAAAAACAUCUGUGAAAGGAAAUGUGCACAACUUGACGGUACCUACACAGGAAGCCACGGCUAACUACGUG
RNAcentral lists this ribosomal RNA (497 nucleotides) under uncultured bacterium. RNAcentral's name for it is "partial 16S ribosomal RNA". It matches the Rfam family "Bacterial small subunit ribosomal RNA", at positions 28 to 507 of the family's 1533-position model. The record is from RNAcentral.